Molecule: long non-coding RNA, 2828 nt
Filed under: Zostera marina
Lineage: Eukaryota; Viridiplantae; Streptophyta; Magnoliopsida; Alismatales; Zosteraceae
Description: long non-coding RNA (ZMAR_LNC001367)
Source: RNAcentral
GGAUAGAGAAAGUCUUAAUGGUAACAGAGUCAGAAUGCGUAUCCCAUCUAAGGCGAGAGUAAACCUCACCUACGGAAACGUAGUGUUAGACGAGGGAUAUACUCAAAAGUGAACCCCACCUACGGAAGAACGUAGGUUAGACGGGGAACACAUCAGUUAAAAAGUGAACCUCACCUACGGAAACGUAGUGUUAGACGAGGGACGUACUUAAAAGUGAACCCCACCUGCGGAAGAACGCAGGUUAGACGGGGAACACAUCAGCUAAAGGGUGAACCUCACCUACGGAAACGUAGUGUUAGACGAGGGAUGUACUCAAAAGUGAACCCCACCUACGGAAGAACGUAGGUUAGACGGGGAACACAUCGGUAAAAGUGAACCCCACCUGCGGAAGAACGCAGGUUAGACGGGGAACACAUCGGCAAAAGUAAGCCCCACCUACGGAAGAACGUAGGUUAGACGGGGGACACGUCGGCUAAACACACACCCCAUUCUACAAAGAUGUAGACAGAGGGGCAAGUGUCCAAGAGUAAACCUCACCUACGAAAGAACGUAGGUUAGACGAGGGACGUACUCAAGAACAAUCCUCACCUACGGAUGAACGUAGGUAGACGAGGAGUCACACUUAGCCUCAGUCGCAGAAAGGCGAGCAAAAGGAGGGGGCAAGUAUUCAAACAACAAUCCUCACCUACGGAUGAAUGUAGGUAGACGAGGAAUCACACUUAGCCUCAGUCGCAGAAAGGUGAGCAAAAGGAGGGGGCAAGUAUUCAAGUAAUAGUCCUCACCCACGGAUGAACGCGGGUAGACGAGGAAGCACAAAUAGCCCCUAUCGCAGAAAGGCGGUAAAAAGGAGGGGGUCGGGUACUCUCAAAACCCGCCACAGGGAAGAGAACCCAAGCAGUGCUCAAGGACAGCUCAGGCAAGGCGUCAAGGUGGGCAAGCAGGGUUCCGCGGGAGAAUCAGGCCGGACAGGCGUGCAAGGAGUAGGCUUCGGCUAGGACAAACCGGACAAUAGUUGGCAAAGGCGCGUGACAACCUCCAUGGAAGCAUAGAUGCAACCUCACAGGCGUGGAAAGGGGGGAGUACUGGUGAGAGAGGAUCUUACAUCCAGGGACAUCACCAGAAAUCCACAUCCCAGCACGCAAAGAGGGGGGGAAUACUGAUAGUACAGGGUCCGACACACAGACCAUAGUACUAAAAGACGUAUCCCAAAGUACCUAAUACACAGAGGAGGGGGAGUACUGGUGAUACAGCAUCCCGAACACGGUCACAACCUACCAGCAACUAGAAGUCCGGAUAGCCUAAGAUGAGUUGAGGUAUCUAUUCUAGGGUUGGGGAGGUCCCAGGUCGAAUUCUAAGAAGAUCGACUUUCCUGAGGAUCGACUUCCCUGGGAUCGACUUUUGAGUAAAGUCGAUCACCAGGAAAAGUCGACCCCCAGAAAGUCGAUCUCUGGAAAGUCGACCCCUGGACCCAAUCUGAUCAGUUGGGCAGUUAGGCGGUUACUGCCCAAAUGACCAGAUUACCCCCAUAAGAAUCCCUAUAAAUAGAGGGCACCCCCCACUCAUUAAAGGCAAGUCAUUUUGGAGAAGAAGAAUUCUUAGCGAAGCAGAGCUCUGCACACUUGAGUUCCGGUCCGGUUUCCCGCGGAGUUCCCCGCUUGGCGCUUGCUUGCGCGUCUUGGAGUACUGGUCGGGUUUCACCCCCAUCAGUAAGUAUAUUAUUUGAUAUUUUAAAUGAGUUUUAUUUGAUGUUUGGAUUUAAAAAAAAAUCCAACUUGUUUUGAUUCUAACGUUCUAUAUAUUUUAUAUAAAAUUAUAAAUAAGCAUAUAAUAUUAUAAUCUAUACAUACGUAAAUAUCUAUUAAUAUAAUGAGUGGAAGUUGUGAAAAUGAAAUAAUAAUUUUGCAUGCAUUUAUUUGAAAAUCCAAUUAAUCUGUCGAUUGCAUGCAUUUUGAAAUCAAUGUAUGCAUAAUUUCUUACAUGAUUGAUAAGUCGAUAUUUUUACGAUACAUUAAUGUUUAAUUCUUUUCAAGGAUUAAUUAAUUUCUUUCAAUAACGGUAAUCUUUUUAAUCUGUGGGUUUUAAUAUUUGAAAAUAAUAUUUCUUUAAAUUAAUCAUGUACAAUUAACAAUAUUGUAUGAUUUGAAAUUAAUGAUUUUUGAUUGAGUUUAAAUAUUGAGUUUUGAUUGGAAAUUUUAUUAUUUGAAUCAAUGCAUGAUUGCAUGAAUUUAGAAUUAUAUAUAUAACGAGGCAUAAGUUCGAUAAACAAUAAAAUUGAAUAGCGGUAUAUGAUUUGUUUUUACAGAUUUUUGGUUUGCUUUCGACUGAUAAUAUUUUAUUUUUACAUAUAUCUAUUGAAAUAAAACACCAUUAACGAGUGUAUUAAUUAAAUAAAAUUAAUUAAGGGACGGGUCAACGUGGUUUAAUGGAUCAAUUCCUUCAGAAAUAUCCAACUAUUUAUGUAUAUGCAUAUAUGAAGGUAUUAAAUAUCCAACUAUUUAUAUAUAUUCGAACGGUCACAGUAUUAAAUAAGAUUAUCAACCAUAUAUUAUAAAAAUUAACUUGUUUUGAUUCUAGCCUUCUAUAUAUUUUAUAUAAAAUUAUAAAUAACUAUAUUUUAUUGUUAUUGAUAAAUGAUUCAUUCAUCAUAUAAUAUUAUAAUCUAUACGUACGUAAAUAUCUAUUAAUAUAAAGAAUGGAAGUUGUUAAAAUUAAAUAUUAAUUUUACAUGUUCACGUUUGAAUUUUCUAUAUUUUUAUUAUCAUUACAAUACAUAUAAAUCGUUUAAUAUUUAAUUGUUAAUAUUUUUCUUUGUCGGAAUCUUUACAAUA